This 242-nucleotide ribosomal RNA is filed under the name uncultured bacterium. RNAcentral describes it as "partial 16S ribosomal RNA". It matches the Rfam family "Bacterial small subunit ribosomal RNA", at positions 28 to 267 of the family's 1533-position model. The record is from RNAcentral.
GAUGAACGCUAGCGGCAGGCCUAAUACAUGCAAGUCGGACGGGAUUUGGGAGCUUGCUCCUGAUGAGAGUGGCGCACGGGUGCGUAACACGUAUGUAACCUACCUUGAUCUGGGGGAGUAGCCUCUCGAAAGAGAGAUUAACACCGCAUAAUAUUAUUUGGCAGCAUUGUUGAAUAAUACAAAUAAUUUAUAGGAUCAAGAUGGCAUGCGGAACAUUAGCUAGUUGGUAAGGUAAUGGCUUA